AACUGAUCAAAUGUCGCUUUGGUUCCCUAAAUUUAUCCACAAAAUUUGUGUCUUGGAAAAAUUGCAUUUUGUAUUGGCAGGACAGAAGUUUUAUGCUUAUCAGAGUUGAGUUUUUAGUGCUUUGUGUUCUCUUUCUCCAAGGGUCCCAUGUGUUCUGAAUAAUCCUACCUUUUCCCCAUUCCACAGUAGUGAAGAAAUGUUGCCUGGCGUAUGGAAAGAUCAAAAGACAUCAGUUUCAGAACUUGUCUAUUUUUGUUCCCCAUCAUCCAUGGACAACGCCAGAUUCCUCAUCCAUUUGAGACACAGAAGAAGUUCCACGCAGGCGGCACCUUACCGAGGCCGUGCUAAAGGCCUUGACACCCCUCCCUCCUGUGGUCUUGAGCCUGUUAGAAGAAUGCUGAGGUUUUGGGCCUCCACCUGGAAGUACCCAGCAGUAACUUCAAGAAGCUAAUGAGUAAAGCACAGUAAUGAGAGUAAAUCCCAAUGAACUUAUUUAAAAAACGGAACCACAACUUUGGCAAGGGCAGGAACCAUUGUCUGGAACUUGUUUGUCCAUUUGCAGAGUAUUGUAGCAUGCCUUUGUACAUCCCCUCAGCCUUUCAGAACAGAGAGAUUAGCAACAAAAGACAGAUUUUUCGAAGCUACACACAGCCGUGAUUUAUACCCCACUAUGGAGACUGUUGGGAUGGCUUCUUUGGAUUGAAAAGGGUACCAGCUAACCUCUGUUUUAAUGGGCCACCUGGGACUUUAGCUGUACUGUGUGUGUAAAGCAGAAGACCUCUGAUCCAACCUCCAUCUUUUGUGGAAAAACUUUUUUGUAAUUGCUUUGGGCUUUCUGAAAUUCUUCUCUCAAGAAAAGUAAAAAAUGGUUUCAGGUGCUAUAACCAUUUUAUCCUGGGAUUAUGUAUAACCAACAACAUGAAAUCCCCAGGUUGCCUUUUUUCAUUGCUGGGGUAAAGAUAAUGUUUGCAGAGCAUCUGCAGGGGUUAAGGUACUUUUGAGAACUUUAGAUAAUUUAUGUUCUUGGAGGACUUGCGUCCUUAAGAGAAGGGGGCUGCAGUUGCGUCGUAUCUAACUGGUUAGUUCCAUAUAAGUUCUGUGUUAAUUACAUCAAGGCUAGAGGGUGAAAAAUCACAAGCAAAAAUUACAAGUGAAAAUACCACCUUGCAGAAGUGUUUGGUGUUAUCUACUGAGGUUGAAUACAUGCCCACACUAUGACCCAAUAGUUGCACUUCUAAGUGUGUACCCAACCGAAUUGCACCAAAAGAUGAGUACAAGAAUGUUCACAGCAGCAUUAUUCAUAAUAGCCAAAUCCUAGAAACUACACAAAUGACCAUGGAUAGUAGAAACAAUAAACAAAUUGUGGCAUUUUUACA
This 1376-nucleotide long non-coding RNA is filed under the name Piliocolobus tephrosceles (Ugandan red Colobus). RNAcentral describes it as "lncRNA (ENSPTEG00000009850.1)". The record is from RNAcentral. Lineage: Eukaryota; Metazoa; Chordata; Mammalia; Primates; Cercopithecidae.